AUUUGACCUCAAAUCAGGUAGGAGUACCCGCUGAACUUAAGCAUAUCAAUAAGCGGAGGAAAAGAAAAUAACAAUGAUUCCCCUAGUAACUGCGAGUGAAGAGGGACAAGCUCAAAUUUUAAAUCUGUUAGGUUUACCUAACCGAGUUGUAAUUUGAAGAGGCGUUUUCUGUGUUUUUGAUCAGCCCAAGUCCUUUGGGAUAGGGCAUCAUGGAGGGUGAGAAUCCCGUUCGGUUGAUCAGAUUCGCUUUACGAUACGUCAUCUAAGAGUCAAGUUGUUUGGGAUUGCAGCUUAAAAUGGGAAGGUAAAUUUCUCCUAAGGCUAAAUAACGGCGAGAGACCGAUAGCGAACAAGUACCGUGAGGGAAAGAUGAAAAGAACUUUGAAAAGAGAGUUAAACAGUACGUGAAAUUGUUGAAAGGGAAACGAUUGAAGCCAGUCGUACCUUCGGGUAAUCAGCCUUUCGGGUGCGAUUCUGUGGAGCGUGGGGAGUUAAACGCCUUCAUGCCUGCAUAUUCGUGCACUUUGGGUGUACUUGCCCGUGUGGUAGGUUAACAUCAAUUUCGGAUGUCAUAAAAUGGCUGGAGGAAUGUAGCUUCGGUCUCGUACUGAAGUGUUAUAGCCUUUGGUAGAUGUGAUGACCGGGAUUGAGGAUUGCAACGAAUACCUUUUGGGCUAUCCGUCUGAUCUCUGAAAGUUGCUCUGGUGCCGAAAGCUUGCUUACGGUUAUCAAAGUUGACGUUCAAAAGGUUAGAACGGGUUAAAUUCGUUAAGGAUGUUGACGUAAUGGCUUUAAACGACCCGUCUUGAAACACGGACCAAGGAGUCUAACAUAUAUGCGAGUGUUC
This 847-nucleotide ribosomal RNA is filed under the name Rhizophagus intraradices. RNAcentral's name for it is "eukaryotic LSU rRNA". It matches the Rfam family "Eukaryotic large subunit ribosomal RNA", at positions 1 to 695 of the family's 3401-position model. The record is from RNAcentral. Lineage: Eukaryota; Fungi; Glomeromycota; Glomeromycetes; Glomerales; Glomeraceae.